CAGUAAUCCACUGGGGUACGCUUCCGCGCUGUGGAGAGUAUGUUCUUUUGCUCUUCACAGUAAAUCUUGCUAAUGCUCACUUUUUGGGUCCACACUACUUUUAUGAACUGUAACACUCACUGCGAAGGUCUUUAGCUUAACUCCUGAAGCCAGCAAGACCACGAAUCCUCUGGGAGGCAUGAACAACUCCUGACCCGCCACCUUAAAGAGCUGUAACACUCACUGUGAAGGUCUGCGGCUUCACUCCUGAAGUCAGCGAGACCACGAACGCACCAGAAGGAAGAAACUCCCCACACAUGUGAACAUCUGAAGGAACAAACUCCCGACACUCCAUCUUCAAGAACUGUAACACUCACCGUGAGGGUCUGCAGCUUCAUUCUUGAAGUCAGCAAGACCAAGAACCCACCAGAAGAAACCAAUUCCGGCCACAGUGUCUCCUUGGCUUACUGUGGAAAAACUCAAGGGGAGAUUAUUCUCUGAAAAAUCUUACCAGGAGGUGAAAAUCUGACAGCUCAAAAUGAAGCAAAAACCCAAGAUUAAAACAGACACCAUUUUGUGCCCACUCAGUCUUCUUUCCAGGGUCAUACAUGUGUUUAUAACCGCACUUCUACAUUCUAUUAUGAGGGCAAGAGUUGUGGCUGCUAUAUAAAUGCUUCCUAGCAUAGUUCCUGACAACUAGGUGAUUCAUGAAUAUUUGCUGAAGAAAUAAAAAUAACUUUAUGAACAUCGUUACACAUCCUGCUUAAUUUUUCAAUUCGCAUAAUUUUUUUCUGUAUAUCCUCUAAUUUAAUACUAUUUCAUAGUUAUGGUAUUUGUUAAAGGAAUAUAAAACAUCAAUACGCAGCAAUAGAUCAACUGUACCAUACCUCCAAAAUACAAUGUAGCCAGUUGUCAACUCUACCUAUGAAAGAAAUUGGUCCAGCCUUGGACAGGCAUGGUGGCUCAUGCCUGUAAUCCUAGCACUUUGGGAGGCUGAGGCGAGCGCAUUGCCUGAGCUCAGGAGUUUGAGACCACCCUGGGCAACGUGGUGAAACCCCAUCUCUCCUAAAACAAAAAAUUAGCCAGGCGCGGUGGCAGAUGCCUGGUAGUCCCAGCUACUCCAGAGGCUGAGGCACUAGAAUUGCUUGAACCUGGGAGGCAGAGGUUGCAAGUAGACAAGAUCGUGCCACUGCACACCAGCCUGGGUGACAGAGUGAGACACUGUCUCAGAAAAAAAAAAUAAAAAUGUUUAAAAUUUUUAAAAAGAAAAGGGUCCAGUCCAAUUCAUUUCCCUCGAUCUGAUGGGUACAGUGGAAUUUGAGAUCAUGUUCAAUGAAGCUGUGAUGCUACCUGCAGUAAAACAUGUUUGUUAUUAUGGCAGAGGCAGCCUUCUGGAGUGUCCACUGUGAAGAUGCUGGCUGCAGCACAGGAGGUGUAGACAGGGUUGUCCACUCAGUGGAGCAGGUAGGGGCCGGGAACAGGCAGGAGCCCUGCCCCCUACCGGGUUAAAGGGGCAACAGCCCCAUGCUCCCGGAUGCAGCGGCAGCCUCCCAGCUGCAGCUCUGGACCAGGGAAUACCUGUGCUCUCAGGGGCCCAGGAAGUCCCACUGCUCGCACAGGCUUGGAAGUGCCUGCUCCGUCUCCCUGGCUUCUCUCCACUUCCAGCACUGGCUCCAAUUUCGGAGCAAAGUUGAAGCUGAGCCUGGGUGCUCUCAUGACCCAUUGGGUAUGUGUAGAUUAUGGCACUGACAGGUCACCUCCUCCUGCAACCUCUGCCCACUCUGAAACUUUGGGCACUGAGGAGCUCAGGGAGAGAGGGUGAAGGGGGUUGGAGGUGGCUCAGCACAGGCCUGCAGAUGCCCCUUGGGCACAAACAGACUGAGUACUGUGAACAGCAUGUUUGUGGCAGGAGGCAGACAGGUUCCUGGGCAGAAAGGGUUGGGUCUGCAGUGAAACUCCACCUUCAAGCCAGGAACAGCCUGAAGCCUGGGGGCUGGGCUGCCGGUUCUGGGUGCAGUCCAUAGCGUGGAGUGAGAACUUAUGGUGCAUUUUCCAGGCCUGCCCAUGGCUGCCCAUAGACCAAUCAGCAGACAGUUCCUCCCUCCUGAGCCCGUAAAAAUCCCGGGACUCAGCCAGACUGACACAGAGGUAGGGAUUAUCAGCUGCAGGAAGGAGCUGCCCACUGCAGGUCUCCUCUCUACUGAGAGCUGGACACUAGCUGGGACAACCUGCCCGCAGAAAGGAUCUAACCACUUCUGGUCUCCUAGAAGCUGUUCUGUCGCUCAAUGAAGCUAGUCUCCACUUUGCUUACCCUCCAGGUUGUCUGCAUACCUCAUUCUUCCUGGAUACGGGACAAGAACUCAGUACCCACUAAAUGGCAAGACUAAAACAGCUGUAACACAAACAGUACUGAAACACACCCACCCGUUUGCCAUUUUGUGGGUGACGAAAAGGAGAGAAGUCCUGCAGCCUAUGUCUGGGAACCCAGACCUCAGGGCUCUUUAAGCCAGGACUGUGACAUGCUGUAACAACCUCUUUGAGGCUCUGCAGUUUCUGGGAUCUCCAAGAUUUCGGGCGCCACUGCAUUCCCCUUGUCCAGAUGUUGGUGCCCACAGCAGAAGUCACCUGCAGUACAUCUGGUACAGCUGCAGCCUUGCAUGGAGUUGGCACCUGUGCCAGCACCUGGAGCUGCCUGUCCAUCACAGCUGGCAUGCCUGGCUGUGCACAGUGGCCAGGCCCCACGCUUACCUGCUCACACACCCCUCACUGCUUCAUGCCUAGCUCACACUUGGCAGGUGUGGGAUCCAGGCUGGUAGCAGGAGCUGAGUGCAUCAUGCUAGGCUGAUUGGACAGAACAAGCCCAGUAGGCCUGAGCAAAACUUGGGCAAAGACGCCACCGGCCAUAGAGGUUUCUGGCUGGAAACCAGUGACACCCAAAGGAUCCUGCGACAGUAUCACACCAAAUAAAGGGAAGUGCUGACAAUUAUUUACUCAUUUAAACUAAAUAAUUCAGAUACAGAACAUCUUGUCAUGUUUGUCUAGAGAAAAUGGUUCCAUAGGUAAAAUUAAGAGGCUAAUUUCCAAAGUUGAAUAUUGGCACAGGAAAAAAAACCAAGUAUGUAUAUAGAGAGAAUAGCUCAGAAAGAAAAAAAUGUAACUCUAUGCAAUUGAGAGAGACGAUGUAACUUGAAAGGAUUAACAAUGCACAACGUCAUUGAUCAGCUGAAAAGCAGGUACUAUCUAAUGCACACAGCCAGGCAUGUUCUGUUAACUUCAAAGUGUUCUCAGCC
RNAcentral lists this long non-coding RNA (3269 nucleotides) under Homo sapiens (human). RNAcentral's name for it is "HSALNT0376139". Lineage: Eukaryota; Metazoa; Chordata; Mammalia; Primates; Hominidae. The record is from RNAcentral.